AGUAUGAAAGGGAAUGAAGUUCUCCCUUGGGUAACCUAAACCGUUUAUUAAGCUGAUGACUUCUACAAUUAC
Molecule: non-coding RNA, 72 nt
Organism: Clostridiales bacterium
Lineage: Bacteria; Bacillati; Bacillota; Clostridia; Eubacteriales
Source: Rfam